RNAcentral lists this non-coding RNA (31 nucleotides) under Mus musculus (house mouse). The record is from RNAcentral. Lineage: Eukaryota; Metazoa; Chordata; Mammalia; Rodentia; Muridae.
UCACAACUUAAAUGACAGUAUCGUAAAGGCC